RNAcentral lists this ribosomal RNA (274 nucleotides) under uncultured bacterium. Its description in RNAcentral is "partial 16S ribosomal RNA". It matches the Rfam family "Bacterial small subunit ribosomal RNA", at positions 523 to 796 of the family's 1533-position model. The record is from RNAcentral.
AUACGGAGGCUGCAAGCGUUAUUCGGAAUCACUGGGCGUAAAGGACGCGUAGGCGGGUUGGCAAGUCAGAUGUGAAAUCCUACAGCUUAACUGUAGAACUGCAUUUGAAACUGCUAACCUAGAGUAUGGGAGGGGGAGAUGGAAUUAGUGGUGUAGGGGUAAAAUCCGUAGAUAUCACUAGGAAUACCGAAAGCGAAGGCGAUCUCCUGGAACAUAACUGACGCUAAGGCGUGAAAGCGUGGGGAGCAGACAGGAUUAGAAACCCUAGUAGUCC